ACGCUCGACACCUACUGGAGGCAGCAGUUAGGAAUAUUGGGCAAUGGAGGAAACUCUGACCCAGCAACGCCGCGUGAAGGAAGAAGGUUUUCGGAUUGUAAACUUCUGAUCUAGGGGAAGAAGGAAGUGACGGUACCCUAGGAGAAAGCCACGGCUAACUACGUGCCAGCAGCCGCGGUAAUCUGAGCGGGCUGGCAAGGC
This 201-nucleotide ribosomal RNA is filed under the name uncultured bacterium. RNAcentral describes it as "partial 16S ribosomal RNA". It matches the Rfam family "Bacterial small subunit ribosomal RNA", at positions 328 to 539 of the family's 1533-position model. The record is from RNAcentral.